RNAcentral lists this ribosomal RNA (1460 nucleotides) under Staphylococcus saprophyticus. Its description in RNAcentral is "bacterial SSU rRNA". It matches the Rfam family "Bacterial small subunit ribosomal RNA". Lineage: Bacteria; Bacillati; Bacillota; Bacilli; Caryophanales; Staphylococcaceae. The record is from RNAcentral.
UUUGGGGGGCGUGCCUAUACAUGCAGUCGAGCGAACAGAUAAGGAGCUUGCUCCUUUGACGUUAGCGGCGGACGGGUGAGUAACACGUGGGUAACCUACCUAUAAGACUGGGAUAACUUCGGGAAACCGGAGCUAAUACCGGAUAACAUUUGGAACCGCAUGGUUCUAAAGUGAAAGAUGGUUUUGCUAUCACUUAUAGAUGGACCCGCGCCGUAUUAGCUAGUUGGUAAGGUAACGGCUUACCAAGGCGACGAUACGUAGCCGACCUGAGAGGGUGAUCGGCCACACUGGAACUGAGACACGGUCCAGACUCCUACGGGAGGCAGCAGUAGGGAAUCUUCCGCAAUGGGCGAAAGCCUGACGGAGCAACGCCGCGUGAGUGAUGAAGGGUUUCGGCUCGUAAAACUCUGUUAUUAGGGAAGAACAAACGUGUAAGUAACUGUGCACGUCUUGACGGUACCUAAUCAGAAAGCCACGGCUAACUACGUGCCAGCAGCCGCGGUAAUACGUAGGUGGCAAGCGUUAUCCGGAAUUAUUGGGCGUAAAGCGCGCGUAGGCGGUUUCUUAAGUCUGAUGUGAAAGCCCACGGCUCAACCGUGGAGGGUCAUUGGAAACUGGGAAACUUGAGUGCAGAAGAGGAAAGUGGAAUUCCAUGUGUAGCGGUGAAAUGCGCAGAGAUAUGGAGGAACACCAGUGGCGAAGGCGACUUUCUGGUCUGUAACUGACGCUGAUGUGCGAAAGCGUGGGGAUCAAACAGGAUUAGAUACCCUGGUAGUCCACGCCGUAAACGAUGAGUGCUAAGUGUUAGGGGGUUUCCGCCCCUUAGUGCUGCAGCUAACGCAUUAAGCACUCCGCCUGGGGAGUACGACCGCAAGGUUGAAACUCAAAGGAAUUGACGGGGACCCGCACAAGCGGUGGAGCAUGUGGUUUAAUUCGAAGCAACGCGAAGAACCUUACCAAAUCUUGACAUCCUUUGAAAACUCUAGAGAUAGAGCCUUCCCCUUCGGGGGACAAAGUGACAGGUGGUGCAUGGUUGUCGUCAGCUCGUGUCGUGAGAUGUUGGGUUAAGUCCCGCAACGAGCGCAACCCUUAAGCUUAGUUGCCAUCAUUAAGUUGGGCACUCUAGGUUGACUGCCGGUGACAAACCGGAGGAAGGUGGGGAUGACGUCAAAUCAUCAUGCCCCUUAUGAUUUGGGCUACACACGUGCUACAAUGGACAAUACAAAGGGCAGCUAAACCGCGAGGUCAUGCAAAUCCCAUAAAGUUGUUCUCAGUUCGGAUUGUAGUCUGCAACUCGACUACAUGAAGCUGGAAUCGCUAGUAAUCGUAGAUCAGCAUGCUACGGUGAAUACGUUCCCGGGUCUUGUACACACCGCCCGUCACACCACGAGAGUUUGUAACACCCGAAGCCGGUGGAGUAACCAUUUAUGGAGCUAGCCGUCGAAAGGUGACCCGGCAUU